AGAAAUUCUAUUCCAUUUUUUCUCUUCUUUUUCCUUUUUGCUUUUUCGUUUGGGAACUUCCUAGUGACAUAUCUUCAAGCUUGUGUGUUAACUGUUCAGUAGUGUCCAACUCUUUGCAGCCCCUUGGACUGUAGCCCACCACGCUCCUCUGUCCAUGAGAUUCUCUAGGCAAGAAUACUGGAGUAGGUUGCCAUUUCCUUCUCUAGGGGAUCAUCCCAGCUAUGUCUCCUGUAUUGCAGGCAGAUUCUUUACCUUCUGAACCACCAGGGAAGCCCAAAACAAAAUGACCAUGGUGCAUUGGACAGGAAUCAAACCCAAAUUUCCAGCAUGGGAGGUGAGAAGUCUACCACUGAACCACAUAGCCCCUAUCUUCAAGCUUAUGAUUCUUUUAUUGGCCAUGUCCAGUCUACUGUGAAGACUAUUUUUUCAUGAAAUAUUGAAUGUGUUUUAAGUAUGUGGACAUUGCCAGGGGCUGUCCAUGAAAGUUGAAUAUAAUCUUCUUUGAACUUAGCCUCAAGAUCUGUAAUUUUACUGGGUGGGAGCACAGAAGGGUGAUUGCCAGGAGGAGG
Long non-coding RNA from Cervus elaphus (red deer), 569 nucleotides. RefSeq lists it as uncharacterized. NCBI's taxonomy places the organism in Eukaryota, Metazoa, Chordata, Mammalia, Artiodactyla, Cervidae. The record is from RefSeq and is a predicted model, not a curated record. The transcript is spliced from 3 exons.